Mus caroli (Ryukyu mouse) is the source of this 2399-nucleotide non-coding RNA. NCBI's taxonomy places the organism in Eukaryota, Metazoa, Chordata, Mammalia, Rodentia, Muridae. The record is from RefSeq and is a predicted model, not a curated record.
GAAUAAAAUUGUCUUUCUCAGCUUCCCGGGAAGGAUCUGGUCACAGGUAGAGUGAAGCUGGGCCGCUGGGAGGUUAAGUUUGCUCAACUCUUUGGUUUGGAAGAAUAUUCCUGUUUCCUUCUACAAAGCAGGCUGUUGCCUGAAGUAAGAGGCCUGGUGUGGGGAACAAAAAUAUUGGAUAAGCUAAGACUCCUGCGUACCACUGGGCAUUCCAACUGAUUUCCAGAUUAAACUACCUGGUACAAUUCUAGAAGAGAACUUUAACAUCACCACACACUGGGAAUCUCAGUGGGGAAUUCUCAUUUAGCAUUGCCUGUGUGUACAUGGGUGUGGAGCUAUCUACUACAGAUGAGGAAGUUUCCAGUAAACAUAUCUUAAAUGAAAAGUGAUAUUUCCGUCCAGAGCAGCUAUCAACUGCUACUAACUCCUUUUUAAGUCAUGGAUCCUGAAGAUCAUCUACCCCAUCUCUAUACCAGGAUUUUAGUCAGCUUGAUAUUGUAUAAAUCUUACCAAAAUAACUGUACCUCAAAUAGGUCAUGUAUGUGGGUUAAAAUGGUGCCUGGCGUCUGCUCUGUCACAGGGCUAGGACUGCUAAUGGAGGUGGACACUGCAAGUUUGACUGGUGUCGGGCUGUGAAAAGUCUCCGAACCCCACUCCAGAGGGAGGGGAGGCACAGUUUGAGGUCCCUGAGGCCUCAGACUGUGUCUCCCUACUACCAGAUUCUGCUCAGGUGUCCUGGACCUGCACAGAGUAUGACAGGUUCUCAGGCUCUUGGAUACUGCAAACGUCUCUGGAUGUUGCAGAAGAGCUGAGAAUGAAUUCUCUCCCUCCCUACCCCUCCCUACCCCCACUUCCACCCCUCUACACACCCCCUGCAUCUAGCCCAGGGCCAAAAGGAAAAGGGCAGGAGGAGAGGGCUCUGGCUGGGUCCCACAAGGGUGAGAGUCUUGCUCUGGAGGCAGGUUGCCUUGGUGGGAAUCAUGUCUGAGAGCACAGAGAGGCCUCCCAUGGGAGCAUUUCAGAGGAAGACCUGCUCCAUCUCUCCAGCACAGUGGGUCCCAAUGAGAAGAGGCAAUCUAUAGUUUUAAGGCACCCUGUUGUGUAUUCCUGUAGGUCAGAAGUCACUCUUUAAGCUAAAUGACCCCUGCUCACAAUUUCAUCCCCCAUCAGCCAAUGUACUGAUCGAAGUUGAAUUUUCAUCUGGGACUCAGAACUCCUUUGCAGUCUCAUUGGUUGUUGGCAGAAUUAAUUUCCUUUCAGCUGCAUCAGUGGCAACCCUGCUUGUUCACUAGCUUUUCUCAGCUGCUGAGGACAGCCCAGCAUUCCAUACCUUGUGUGGUUUUCCAGAGUACAGUGCCUUCGAAGCCUGCAUGAUAUCCUCCAUUCUACUCUGUGUACCUUGAGACCUCGCUGAUAAGUAACUUCCAUUUUUCUGAUUUCAAUAGUUCAUCUUCAGAAGUGAAGCCACCCAUAUUUAUAAGAAUUGAAUUCCACUAUGCAUUGACACUAAGAGGCAUAGAUUUUGUAAGGCAUGCACACAGAGUGAGAGGGUGAAAUGGAAUGGUGUCAAAUACACCCUUAACAAUUGUGAAUGGUUUCUUUCUAGUAGGCAUAAAUUGGGAGAGUGGGUGUUUUACCCUGGAAAUCAUCUCACUGAUUUGAGAAUCGAGAGCAAUCAAUUUUAUAAAUUAAUUUAUAGAACUAUUUGUAAAAGUCAGAGUGCCAAAAAUUUAAGAAUAUUUUUUGUUUUAUAAUAAAUAUUUCCAUAUCCAGAUGGCCACAAAAUCCAGCUCUUUAUUCCUCUUAUCUGUAAAUUUUACUAGACUGGGCACACACAUUCCUGUGUAGCAAUAUUCAUCACAAAUUAGUUUAAAAUAAAUAUGUUCCUAAUAAUUUAAUCAUAUGUUAAGACACUUAGAAUAAUGACUAUUGAUUUUUAUUAUAUCAACAGCUAUAUUUACCCUGCCACAAAAAUAUUUAUAAUGUUGUAAUUGAUAUGACUUUGAGUGUGGCUAUUACAUAUGUCCUACAAUUAUAUUGCUGUAAACAUAAUUUAUCAAUAAGAGUAACACUGUCUAAGAACAUCUUAAAUCUUAACUCCAUAAAACAAUCCUGAUUUCUAAACACAAAUUGGCAACUAAUACUAUUUUCAAAGGGCUUUGGACAAAUAAGAUAUCUAUAGUUUUUCUACAAACACACUUAAAAAUCAAGCUUAAUAAUAUUUUGUUAUUAUUCAUCUCUGCUGUUGUCUUCAGGAUCGUCCUAGAUGAGUUUGUAAAUCACGGGAACUGCACCUAGGAAAGUCGUGAUUUGUACUGCUUCUAGCUUUUUGCCUACUCAGUAUUUUAGGGCCUUUCACGUGAUCAUCUAUAAUGUAAGUGCAUAGAAUGGCAAUUUCU